CUAUGCGCCUUGCCAGCCCGCUCAGUCAGAGUUUGAUCCUGGCUCAGAAUCAACGCUGGCGGCGUGCCUAACACAUGCAAGUCGAACGCGAAAGCCCCGCAAGGGGUGAGUAGAGUGGCAAACGGGUGAGUAACACGUGGGUGACCUGCCUUCGAGUGGGGGAUAACGUCCCGAAAGGGACGCUAAUACCGCAUGACAUCCUGCCUUUGGAGAGGCGGCGAUCAAAGCUGGGGAUCGCAAGACCUGGCGCUUGAAGAGGGGCCCGCGCCUGAUUAGCUAGUUGGUGGGGUAAUGGCUCACCAAGGCGACGAUCAGUAUCCGGCCUGAGAGGGCGGACGGACACACUGGGACUGAGACACGGCCCAG
RNAcentral lists this ribosomal RNA (366 nucleotides) under uncultured bacterium. RNAcentral describes it as "bacterial SSU rRNA". It matches the Rfam family "Bacterial small subunit ribosomal RNA", at positions 1 to 334 of the family's 1533-position model. The record is from RNAcentral.